CCUACGGGAGGCAGCAGUGAGGAAUAUUGGUCAAUGGGCGCUAGCCUGAACCAGCAAAGCCGCGUGAAGGAUGACUGCCUUAUGGGUUGUAAACUUUUUUUAUAUGGGAAUAAAGUGCAGUAUGUAUACUGCUUUGCAUGUACCUUAUGAUUCAGGAUCGGCUAACUCCGUGCCAGCAGCCGCGGUAAUACGGAGGGUCCGAGCGUUAUCCGGAUUUAUUGGGAUUAAAGGGAGCGUAGGUGGGUUGUUAAGUCAGGUGUGAAAGUUUGCGGCUCAACCGUAGAAUUGCAGUUGAUACUGGCAUCCUUGAGUACGGUAGAGGUAGGCGGAAUUCGUGGUGUAGCGGUGAAAUGCUUAGAUAUCACGAAGAACACCGAUUGCGAAGGCAGCCUGCUAGACUGUAACUGACGCUGAUGCACGAAAGUGUGGGUAUCAAACAGGAUUAGAUACCCUAGUAGUC
Molecule: ribosomal RNA, 460 nt
Filed under: uncultured bacterium
Lineage: Bacteria
Description: partial 16S ribosomal RNA
Rfam family: Bacterial small subunit ribosomal RNA
Source: RNAcentral